This 554-nucleotide ribosomal RNA is filed under the name Distirogaster sp. 1 MF-2016. RNAcentral's name for it is "eukaryotic LSU rRNA". It matches the Rfam family "Eukaryotic large subunit ribosomal RNA", at positions 684 to 1123 of the family's 3401-position model. The record is from RNAcentral. Lineage: Eukaryota; Metazoa; Arthropoda; Insecta; Hemiptera; Reduviidae.
ACGCAAGUCAUUGGGUGAUACAAAACCCAAAGGCGUAAUGAAAGUAAAGAGUAGAAAGAUAGAAGAAGAAAAUUCAUUUUCAUCUUUGAUUCUCUCUCUCAAGGGAAGAUGGAUAUCAUAUUUUAAAUAUUAUUUGGUAUUUAUAUUAAGUAUAUUUUAAAAUUUAGAUUCCCGCAUUCCCAGGGCGCUUGUUUCUCGCUCUGCGAGUUUAUGCGCACCUAGAGCGUACACGAUGAUACCCGAAAGAUGGUGAACUAUGCCUGGCCAGGACGAAGCCAGGGGAAACCCUGGUGGAGGUCCGCAGCGAUUCUGACGUGCAAAUCGAUCGUCAGAGCUGGGUAUAGGGGCGAAAGACCAAUCGAACCAUCUAGUAGCUGGUUCCCUCUGAAGUUUCCCUCAGGAUAGCUUGCGCUCGGUUGAGAAGAGUCUCAUCCGGUAGAGCGAAUGAUUAGAGGCAUUGGGGUCGAAACGACCUCAACCUAUUCUCAAACUCCAAAUAGAUGAGACCCCCGGCUUUCUUAAAAUUGAAGCCGUGGGAUUAGGAUCAGAGUGCC